RNAcentral lists this ribosomal RNA (429 nucleotides) under uncultured eukaryote. RNAcentral describes it as "SSU rRNA". It matches the Rfam family "Eukaryotic small subunit ribosomal RNA", at positions 592 to 1018 of the family's 1831-position model. The record is from RNAcentral.
CAGUAGCGUAUAUUAAAGUUGUUGCAGUUAAAAAGCUCGUAGUUGGAUUUCUGGUAGAGUAUGUUUGGCCCGCUUUGUUUUCAAAGUGAGUGCUGAACAGACCUGCCAUCCUUCCGGCUAGUGGCGCUUCCACUUCAUUGGGGUUGCGUCAUGAACCGGAUCUUUUACUUUGAAAAAAUUAGAGUGUUUAAAGCAGGCUUGCGCUAUGAAUACAUUAGCAUGGAAUAAUGAUAUAGGACUUUUGUUCUAGUUUUGUUGGUUUCUAGGAUGGAAGUAAUGAUUGAUAGGGAUAGUUGGGGGUGCUAGUAUUCCACGGCCAGAGGUGAAAUUCUUGGAUUCGUGGAAGACUAACUUAUGCGAAAGCAUUCACCAAGGAUGUCUUCUUUAAUCAAGAACGAAAGUUGGGGAUCGAAGAUGAUUAGAUACCAU